UGAGGAAUAUUGGUCAAUGGGCGGAAGCCUGAACCAGCCAAGUAGCGUGCAGGAUGACGGCCCUAUGGGUUGUAAACUGCUUUUGUGCGGGGAUAAAGUGUGGGACGUGUCCCAUAUUGCAGGUACCGCAUGAAUAAGGACCGGCUAAUUCCGUGCCAGCAGCCGCGGUAAUACGGAAGGUCCGGGCGUUAUCCGGAUUUAUUGGGUUUAAAGGGUGCGUAGGUGGCCAUUUAAGUCAGCGGUGAAAGUUUGUGGCUCAACCAUAAAAUUGCCGUUGAAACUGGAGGGCUUGAGUAUGUUUGGGGCAGGUGGAAUGUGUGGUGUAGCGGUGAAAUGCAUAGAUAUCACGCAGAACUCCGAUCGCGAAGGCAGCUUGCCAAGCCAUAACUGACACUGAAGCACGAAAGUGUGGGUAUCAAACAGGAUUAGA
This 430-nucleotide ribosomal RNA is filed under the name uncultured Prevotella sp. RNAcentral's name for it is "bacterial SSU rRNA". It matches the Rfam family "Bacterial small subunit ribosomal RNA", at positions 355 to 782 of the family's 1533-position model. Lineage: Bacteria; Pseudomonadati; Bacteroidota; Bacteroidia; Bacteroidales; Prevotellaceae. The record is from RNAcentral.